Molecule: ribosomal RNA, 227 nt
Filed under: uncultured bacterium
Lineage: Bacteria
Description: partial 16S ribosomal RNA
Rfam family: Bacterial small subunit ribosomal RNA
Source: RNAcentral
CAUGUAGGCGGCAUGACAAGUCUGGUGUGAAAUAUCUCGGCUCAACCGAGAAAACGCACUGGAAACUGUCAAGCUUGAGUAUCGGAGGGGAAGCUAGAAUUCCUGGUGUAGGGGUGAAAUCUGUAGAUAUCAGGAAGAAUACCGGUGGCGAAGGCGAGCUUCUGGCCAGAUACUGACGCUGAGAUGCGAAAGCGUGGGGAGCGAACAGGAUUAGAUACUGGUAGUCC